GAUGAACGCUGGCGGCGUGCCUAAUACAUGCCAGUCGAGCGAACGGACGAGAAGCUUGCUUUUCUGAUGUUAGCGGCGGACGGGUGAGUAACACGUGGAUAACCUACCUAUAAGACUGGGAUAACUUCGGGAAACCGGAGCUAAUACCGGAUAAUAUUUUGAACCGCAUGGUUCAUAAGUGAAAGACGGUCUUGCUGUCACUUAUAGAUGGAUCCGCGCUGCAUUAGCUAGUUGGUAAGGUAACGGCUUACCAAGGCAACGAUGCAUAGCCGACCUGAGAGGGGGAUCGGCCACACUGGAACUGAGACACGGUCCAGACUCCUACGGGAGGCAGCAGUAGGGAAUCUUCCGCAAUGGGCGAAAGCCUGACGGAGCAACGCCGCGUGAGUGAUGAAGGUCUUCGGAUCGUAAAACUCUGUUAUUAGGGAAGAACAUAUGUGUAAGUAACUGUGCACAUCUUGACGGUACCUAAUCAGAAAGCCACGGCUAACUACGUG
Molecule: ribosomal RNA, 497 nt
Filed under: uncultured bacterium
Lineage: Bacteria
Description: partial 16S ribosomal RNA
Rfam family: Bacterial small subunit ribosomal RNA
Source: RNAcentral